RNAcentral lists this ribosomal RNA (254 nucleotides) under uncultured bacterium. RNAcentral's name for it is "partial 16S ribosomal RNA". It matches the Rfam family "Bacterial small subunit ribosomal RNA", at positions 524 to 776 of the family's 1533-position model. The record is from RNAcentral.
UACGGGGGGAGCAAGCGUUGUUCGGAUUUACUGGGCGUAAAGGGCGCGUAGGCGGUCGUGACAAGUCACUUGUGAAAUCUCCGGGCUUAACUCGGAACGGUCAAGUGAUACUGUCGGACUAGAGUACAGAAGGGGCAACUGGAAUUCUCGGUGUAGCGGUGAAAUGCGUAGAUAUCGUAAGGAACGCCAGUGGCGAAAGCGAGUCUCUGGGCAGCAUCUGACACUGAGGCACGAAGGCCAGGGGAGCAAACGGG